This 307-nucleotide ribosomal RNA is filed under the name Lacticaseibacillus casei. RNAcentral describes it as "bacterial SSU rRNA". It matches the Rfam family "Bacterial small subunit ribosomal RNA", at positions 349 to 649 of the family's 1533-position model. Lineage: Bacteria; Bacillati; Bacillota; Bacilli; Lactobacillales; Lactobacillaceae. The record is from RNAcentral.
UAGCAGUAGGGAAUCUUCCACAAUGGACGCAAGUCUGAUGGAGCAACGCCGCGUGAGUGAAGAAGGCUUUCGGGUCGUAAAACUCUGUUGUUGGAGAAGAAUGGUCGGCAGAGUAACUGUUGUCGGCGUGACGGUAUCCAACCAGAAAGCCACGGCUAACUACGUGCCAGCAGCCGCGGUAAUACGUAGGUGGCAAGCGUUAUCCGGAUUUAUUGGGCGUAAAGCGAGCGCAGGCGGUUUUUUAAGUCUGAUGUGAAAGCCCUCGGCUUAACCGAGGAAGCGCAUCGGAAACUGGAAACUGAGGCAG